GAUGAACGCUGGCGGCGUGCCUAAUACAUGCAAGUCGAGCGAACAGACGAGGAGCUUGCUCCUCUGACGUUAGCGGCGGACGGGUGAGUAACACGUGGAUAACCUACCUAUAAGACUGGGAUAACUUCAGGAAACCGGAGCUAAUACCGGAUAAUAUAUUGAACCGCAUGGUUCAAUAGUGAAAGACGGUUUUGCUGUCACUUAUAGAUGGAUCCGCGCCGCAUUAGCUAGUUGGUAAGGUAACGGCUUACCAAGGCGACGAUGCGUAGCCGACCUGAGAGGGUGAUCGGCCACACUGGAACUGAGACACGGUCCAGACUCCUACGGGAGGCAGCAGUAGGGAAUCUUCCGCAAUGGGCGAAAGCCUGACGGAGCAACGCCGCGUGAGUGAUGAAGGUCUUCGGAUCAUAAAACUCUGUUAUUAGGGAAGAACAAAUGUGUAAGUAACUAUGCACGUCUUGACGGUACCUAAUCAGAAAGCCACGGCUAACUACGUG
RNAcentral lists this ribosomal RNA (497 nucleotides) under uncultured bacterium. RNAcentral's name for it is "partial 16S ribosomal RNA". It matches the Rfam family "Bacterial small subunit ribosomal RNA", at positions 28 to 507 of the family's 1533-position model. The record is from RNAcentral.